RNAcentral lists this ribosomal RNA (741 nucleotides) under uncultured fungus. Its description in RNAcentral is "eukaryotic LSU rRNA". The stretch from base 108 to 741 matches the Rfam family "Eukaryotic large subunit ribosomal RNA", at positions 1 to 649 of the family's 3401-position model. Lineage: Eukaryota; Fungi. The record is from RNAcentral.
CCACCCUCUAAAAUCAGUGGCAGUGCCGUCAGGCUCUAAGCGUAGUAAACCCAUCGCUAUAGACCCGGGCGGACCCUCGCCAGGAACUCCCCCCCAUUUUUAAUGAUUGACCUCGGAUUAGGUAGGGAUACCCGCUGAACUUAAGCAUAUCAAUAAGCGGAGGAAAAGAAACCAACAGGGAUUGCCUCAGUAACGGCGAGUGAAGCGGCAAAAGCUCAAAUUUGAAAUCUGGCUCUUUUAGGGUCCGAGUUGUAAUUUGUAGAAGAUGUUUCGGGUGUGGCUCCGGUUUAAGUUCUUUGGAAUAUUACAUCAUAGAGGGUGAGAAUCCCGUAUGUGACCGGCAGCCUUCGCCCAUGUGAAACUCUUUCGACGAGUCGAGUUGUUUGGGAAUGCAGCUCAAAAUGGGAGGUAUAUUUCUUCUAAAGCUAAAUAUGGGCCAGAGACCGAUAGCGCACAAGUAGAGUGAUCGAAAGAUGAAAAGCACUUUGGAAAGAGAGUUAAACAGUACGUGAAAUUGUUGAAAGGGAAGCGCUUGCACCCAGACUUGCACGCAGUUGAUCAUCCGGGGUUCUCCCCGGGGCACUCGGCUGCGUUCAGGCCAGCAUCGGUUUUGGUGGUUGGAUAAAGGCCUUGGGAAUGUGGCUUCCUUCGGGGAGUGUUAUAGCCCUCGGUGCAAUGCAGCCUACCGGGACCGAGGACCGCGCUUCGGCUAGGAUGCUGGCGUAAUGGUUGUAAGCGACC